This 347-nucleotide ribosomal RNA is filed under the name uncultured eukaryote. Its description in RNAcentral is "SSU rRNA". It matches the Rfam family "Eukaryotic small subunit ribosomal RNA", at positions 591 to 958 of the family's 1831-position model. The record is from RNAcentral.
CUCAUAGCGUAUAUUUAGUUGUUGCAGUUAAAAAGCUCGUAGUCGGAUUUUGGCUGAGAACGGUCGGUCCGCCGUUAGGUGUGCACUGACUGGUCUCAGCUUCCUGGUGAGGAGGUGUGCUUCAUCGCCACUUAGUCACCGUGGUUACUUUGAAAAAAUUAGAGUGUUCAAAGCGGGCUUACGCUUGAAUAUAUUAGCAUGGAAUAACACCAUAGGACUCCUGUCCUAUUUCGUUGGUCUCGGGACGGGAGUAAUGAUUAAGAGGAACAGUUGGGGGCAUUCGUAUUUCAUUGUCAGAGGUGAAAUUCUUGGAUUUAUGAAAGACGAACUUCUGCGAAAGCAUUUGC